GAUUAUGUUGCAUAUUAUGGGAAUCUCUCUUAAUUCGUGACUAUGAAUGGUGUAACAGUGUGGCAACCAAGUCUAGCAUUACGAUGUAUGCAGAUGGAUGUCUAUGGCAUUGGAGAUGGUCUGAGGUAUAUCCAGAGUGUUGGUCACUGAAUCAUUGGAGUUUGACUUUAGAUGCCGAGUGAUUGAUGAAGAUUAAGCCACCACAAGAGGUGGCACGGGCAGGAGUAGCCCGUAGGUAGUAGAUGUUUGGGAGUGAAUGUGAUCUUUGGUUGUGUAACUUCUUUAAGUGUCUCUUGAGGUUUGGGCUGCGAUGUCCGGCCACUUCAUAUCUGCGUUUCCGACCGUAUUAAACCCAGAUUUGUUCCUUGCUCCAACAAGAAGCUUGCUUAACCGGUUCAGGAUUUGUGGUUGGUGACUAGAUUUGUGCAUGUUGUGUGGGAUUAAUGGACACCUUCAAUUUCUUGCACUAGAAGUCUUGAGCAGCUAUAUUACUUUUAAUGCAAUUGCUACAUGUAUUUCAAUAUAUCUUCAUCUGUUAACAGACAGUUGGAGGAAAGCUGGUUCCAGUAAUACAAUCCAAACUCUAAACGUACUCUCAUAGCCAGCCUGGAAAGCAUGUUGCUCCAAGUGACUGUAAGAGUUCACUUUUAAAAUUUGAAAACUAACCUGAAACAUCGUCUUCAGUGGCUUUCAUCUCAGGAUAACAUCUACUCAUGUUUAUUGAGCAAAUAUGGCUGUAGAAUAUCUUAAAGUAAACACUAACAUGGUCCCAAUAUCUUUGCAACCUGCAAACACUACAUGACCUAGUUGCUGCUAGUAAAAAAUAAAGUUCCCUCACU
Long non-coding RNA from Procambarus clarkii (red swamp crayfish), 839 nucleotides. RefSeq lists it as uncharacterized. The record is from RefSeq and is a predicted model, not a curated record. NCBI's taxonomy places the organism in Eukaryota, Metazoa, Arthropoda, Malacostraca, Decapoda, Cambaridae.